GUCUUGUCAUUCAAAUAGUCAUAUACAUGGAAACCUUGCCAUUGUUUAGGAAUGCAAAGCGACAAUUAAGGGACAAAACAUGCGGUAGAAACACUAACAUUAACUUAAAAAUUCACCUUUCAAAACAGAAGAAUAAAACAAAGUAGGAGCACUGAUCAUGCUUUUCUUUUUCUUUUUUUUUAAUCAUUA
This is a small nucleolar RNA of Populus trichocarpa (black cottonwood), 189 nucleotides long. The record is from RefSeq and is a predicted model, not a curated record. Lineage: Eukaryota; Viridiplantae; Streptophyta; Magnoliopsida; Malpighiales; Salicaceae.